This 131-nucleotide non-coding RNA is filed under the name Actinacidiphila paucisporea. The record is from RNAcentral. Lineage: Bacteria; Bacillati; Actinomycetota; Actinomycetes; Kitasatosporales; Streptomycetaceae.
AGAGGAAGUCCGGUGCGAAUCCGGCGCGGUCCCGCCACUGUCACCGGGGAGUGCACUCCCAACCCGUACGUCACGGCCGGCCCCGCCGGUUGGAAGACCGGGAGUGCGUAGAUCCGGGAGCCAGGAGACUC